RNAcentral lists this ribosomal RNA (449 nucleotides) under uncultured bacterium. Its description in RNAcentral is "partial 16S ribosomal RNA". It matches the Rfam family "Bacterial small subunit ribosomal RNA", at positions 29 to 523 of the family's 1533-position model. The record is from RNAcentral.
AGCGAACGCUGGCGGCAGGCCUAACACAUGCAAGUCGAACGAAGUCUUCGGACUUAGUGGCGGACGGGUGAGUAACACGUGGGAAUGUGCCUUUAGGUUCGGAAUAACUCAGGGAAACUUGUGCUAAUACCGAAUGUGCCCUUCGGGGGAAAGAUUUAUCGCCUUUAGAGCGGCCCGCGUCUGAUUAGCUAGUUGGUGAGGUAAAGGCUCACCAAGGCGACGAUCAGUAGCUGGUCUGAGAGGAUGAUCAGCCACAUUGGGACUGAGACACGGCCAAAAGUACAACGGGAAGCAGCAGUGGGGAAUAUUGCGCAAUGAGCGAAAGCCUGACGCAGCCAUGCCGCGUGAAUGAUGAAGGUCUUAGGAUUGUUAAAUUCUUUCACCGGGGACGAUAAUGACGGUACCCGGAGAAGAAGCCCCGGCUAACUUCGUGCCAGCCGCCGCGGUAA